GAGGGUAUAGCUCAUGGUAGAGCAUAUGCCUAGCAAGCCCAAGGUCCUGGGUUCAAUCCCCAGCACCUCCA
This 71-nucleotide transfer RNA is filed under the name Camelus bactrianus (Bactrian camel). It matches the Rfam family "tRNA". Rfam says of the family: Transfer RNA (tRNA) molecules are approximately 80 nucleotides in length. The record is from Rfam by way of RNAcentral. Lineage: Eukaryota; Metazoa; Chordata; Mammalia; Artiodactyla; Camelidae. RNAcentral also lists the same sequence under 2 other names.